CCAAGCGUUUCGGCCGGCGCGCCGCAUGUAAACAGUUCCCUUUGGUUAAGUACCGGUUAGAGAAGAAAAAUCGAAGGAAAAUGUUUGAAAACGGUGUGCCCGCCGAAGCUUCGGCCCGUCACGCCGCGUAGCUCGCUUUAGUUUUUCUCUCCACGUGACUACGUGAGAAUUUGGGACCACCCAUCGCCUAUCUCUUCAUCUUAUCUCUCCAGAACACACUACAACCAUUCGUUCCCCUCAAGUCUCUCUCCUCCCAAUCCCAAUCUCGUCAGCCAUGGCACGACCAUCCCCCCGACGAGCAGCUCCUUCCAUGGUGCUCGUGUGGAUCCUACCUCUCCACGGCUGUGACGCUCAUCACCUUGUCCGCCUCCGCCGGCAGCUGGACACGCGCCCUCUCCAUGGCCGUCGCAACUAGGGUGCUUCGAUCGCCAUGGCCAAGCUGCACCCGGCCCCGGCAACGGCGGCGAGUUUGUGCUGGAACCGAGGGGCUUUGCUGGAACAGGCUGGUGUAUGUGCUACAAGGUUGGUGCCUCGCCAGGGAAGCUACAUCCAGCAGCAAGGAGUGUUGUAUCCAACGUUGUUCGAAUGUCGGGAGCUGCAAUCGUGCACGCCGGAGCUCCAACCGGUUACUGGGGGAGCUGCAAGAGAGGAUGGCCAUUUUUUGUUGAUGCAUUUUUUGCUGAACCAAUUUUUUGUUUUUGUUGGAACCGGUGUAUUUUUUUGCUGGAACCAAGAUAAUUUUUUGCUUCA
Triticum aestivum (bread wheat) is the source of this 750-nucleotide long non-coding RNA. RefSeq lists it as uncharacterized. The record is from RefSeq and is a predicted model, not a curated record. Lineage: Eukaryota; Viridiplantae; Streptophyta; Magnoliopsida; Poales; Poaceae. The transcript has 2 exons.